ACUGUAGAUAAUGGAGCCGCGCUUG
Molecule: small RNA, 25 nt
Filed under: Bombyx mori (domestic silkworm)
Lineage: Eukaryota; Metazoa; Arthropoda; Insecta; Lepidoptera; Bombycidae
Description: ovarian small RNA-11713
Source: RNAcentral